GAUGAACGCUGGCGGCGUGCCUAAUACAUGCAAGUAGAACGCUGAAGGAGGAGCUUGCUCUUCUGGAUGAGUUGCGAACGGGUGAGUAACGCGUAGGUAACCUGCCUGGUAGCGGGGGAUAACUAUUGGAAACGAUAGCUAAUACCGCAUGACAACAGUUAUUGCAUGAUAACUGUUUAAAAGGGGCAACUGCUCCACUACCAGAUGGACCUGCGUUGUAUUAGCUAGUUGGUGAGGUAACGGCUCACCAAGGCGACGAUACAUAGCCGACCUGAGAGGGUGAUCGGCCACACUGGGACUGAGACACGGCCCAGACUCCUACGGGAGGCAGCAGUAGGGAAUCUUCGGCAAUGGACGGAAGUGUGACCGAGCAACGCCGCGUGAGUGAAGAAGGGUUUCGGAUCGUAAAGCUCUGUUGUAAGAGAAGAACGAGUGUGAGAGUGGAAAGUUCACACUGUGACGGUAUCUUACCAGAAAGGGACGGCUAACUACGUG
RNAcentral lists this ribosomal RNA (495 nucleotides) under uncultured bacterium. Its description in RNAcentral is "partial 16S ribosomal RNA". It matches the Rfam family "Bacterial small subunit ribosomal RNA", at positions 28 to 507 of the family's 1533-position model. The record is from RNAcentral.